Long non-coding RNA from Camarhynchus parvulus, 288 nucleotides. RefSeq lists it as uncharacterized. The transcript is spliced from 4 exons. Lineage: Eukaryota; Metazoa; Chordata; Aves; Passeriformes; Thraupidae. The record is from RefSeq and is a predicted model, not a curated record.
CGGCGGCUCCCCCAGCAGGGGGCGCUGUUCCAGGCGCGCCGGCGCGGGCGCGCGCGGGGCCGGAGGGCGGGGCUGGAGGCGGAGCUACAGCAGCUGGAUUUGGGGGCCGAGGCCGCAGCUCCCACCGGGACCGGGCUGGUCAGAGAUGGAGGGCACGGGAACGGGCCCGGGGACGGACGCCUUGCCGCGUGCCCGGCGCUGCAGGAGCUGCUCCAGCGCUGCGUGCCCGUCCCGUGCCGCCCGGCCAGCGACGAGGAGCUGCUGCUGGUGCACAGGUGGGCAGCGGGG